RNAcentral lists this ribosomal RNA (694 nucleotides) under uncultured bacterium. RNAcentral describes it as "bacterial SSU rRNA". It matches the Rfam family "Bacterial small subunit ribosomal RNA", at positions 32 to 715 of the family's 1533-position model. The record is from RNAcentral.
AACGCUAGCUACAGGCUUAACACAUGCAAGUCGAGGGGCAGCAUGGUCUUAGCUUGCUAAGACUGAUGGCGACCGGCGCACGGGUGAGUAACACGUAUCCAACCUGCCGUCUACUCUUGGACAGCCUUCUGAAAGGAAGAUUAAUACAAGAUGGCAUCAUGAGUCCGCAUGUUCACAUGAUUAAAGGUAUUCCGGUAGACGAUGGGGAUGCGUUCCAUUAGAUAGUAGGCGGGGUAACGGCCCACCUAGUCUUCGAUGGAUAGGGGUUCUGAGAGGAAGGUCCCCCACAUUGGAACUGAGACACGGUCCAAACUCCUACGGGAGGCAGCAGUGAGGAAUAUUGGUCAAUGGGCGCAAGCCUGAACCAGCCAAGUAGCGUGCAGGACGACGGCCCUAUGGGUUGUAAACUGCUUUUUCGCGGGGAUAAAGAGGGGGAUGUGUCCCCCGUUGCAGGUACCGCGUGAAUAAGGACCGGCUAAUUCCGUGCCAGCAGCCGCGGUAAUACGGAAGGUCCGGGCGUUAUCCGGAUUUAUUGGGUUUAAAGGGAGCGCAGGCCGUAUGGUAAGCGUGUUGUGAAAUGCCGUGGCUCAACCAUGGCACUGCAGCGCGAACUGCCGUACUUGAGUACGCUGGAGGUAGGCGGAAUUCGUGGUGUAGCGGUGAAAUGCUUAGAUAUCACGAAGAACUCCGAUUG